Molecule: ribosomal RNA, 254 nt
Filed under: uncultured bacterium
Lineage: Bacteria
Description: partial 16S ribosomal RNA
Rfam family: Bacterial small subunit ribosomal RNA
Source: RNAcentral
UACAGAGGUCCCAAGCGUUGUUCGGAUUCAUUGGGCGUAAAGGGCGCGUAGGUGGCCCGGUCAGUUCGUGGUGAAAGCGCGGGGCUCAACCCUGCGUCGGCCAUGAAUACUGCCGCGGCUGGAGCACUGUAGAGGCAGGCGGAAUUCCGGGUGUAGCGGUGGAAUGCGUAGAGAUCCGGAAGAACACCGGUGGCGAAGGCGGGUCUGCUGGGCAGUUGCUGGACACUGAGGCGCGACAGCGUGGGGAGCAAACA